GACGAACGCUGGCGGCGUGCCUAAUACAUGCAAGUCGAGCGGACGGAUGGGAGCUUGCUCCCAGACCGUCAGCGGCGGACGGGUGAGUAACACGUGGGCAACCUGCCUGUAAGACUGGGAUAACUCCGGGAAACCGGGGCUAAUACCGGAUAACUCUUUCCCUCACAUGAGGGAAAGCUGAAAGAUGGCAUCUCGCUAUCACUUACAGAUGUGCCCGCGGCGCAUUAGCUAGUUGGUGGGGUAACGGCUCACCAAGGCGACGAUGCGUAGCCGACCUGAGGGGGUGAUCGGCCACACUGGGACUGAGACACGGCCCAGACUCCUACGGGAGGCAGCAGUAGGGAAUCUUCCGCAAUGGACGAAAGUCUGACGGAGCAACGCCGCGUGAGUGAUGAAGGUGUUCGGAUCGUAAAACUCUGUUGUCAGGGAAGAACAAGUACCGGAGUAACUGCCGGUACCUUGACGGUACCUGACCAGAAAGCCACGGCUAACUACGUG
RNAcentral lists this ribosomal RNA (498 nucleotides) under uncultured bacterium. Its description in RNAcentral is "partial 16S ribosomal RNA". It matches the Rfam family "Bacterial small subunit ribosomal RNA", at positions 28 to 507 of the family's 1533-position model. The record is from RNAcentral.